This is an RNA transcript of Carica papaya (papaya), 902 nucleotides long. It is a transcript of the gene named envelope glycoprotein, with no coding region annotated. NCBI's taxonomy places the organism in Eukaryota, Viridiplantae, Streptophyta, Magnoliopsida, Brassicales, Caricaceae. The record is from RefSeq and is a predicted model, not a curated record.
UCGCGUUCCCUGGUUUGUUCAAACGCAGAUAGUUUCUCUGUGCUCCAAACCAGAAAUGGCGUCGUUUUGCAGAUCAACAAUAAUGGCGGGUAAAAGAUCUCUCUCAUCUCGUUGCGCAAACCUAGCUCAAAAGUCUGUGAACCCAAAAUCUAUAUCUUCUCCUCUAUCUUCACCGCGAAGGUCCUAUCCUUGUGCUUCAAGGUUCAUAUCGGUUUUGGGGGGUCUAGAAACUAUGAUGCCGCUUCACAGUGCCCUUGCUUCUGCUAGGCUGAAGUCGAGCAUCGCUGUUGAUUCCUCUUGUUGGAGCUGGCUUUCUCAGGGAUUUGCAACACCGUUGUGACCAGGCUUGUGGAAUCUAUGUGGGAAAAUAAGUUCUUAGGAUUUUUCUUCAGUCUGGAAAAAGGAUCCAAAAUCCUUUGAAUUUGAACGCUGAUAUUCCAUUUCUGCAGUAAUUUGCAGUUCCACGGUGACAAAGGCUAAAAGGUUCCAACAUGUCGGAUCUAGUGAGCAUCAUUUGAGUAGUUUUCUUCUACGUUUGCUGAUCCUUGUGCCUUUUUGUCAUUACUUCCUAGAACAAUUAUUUGGUGGAAGUCAUCUCCUAGCAUGGAUGUUAUGGCAGGAUAGGUUAUUGAUAUUCUAUCCUUAUGUUUUGGAGCACAGCAGAUAUUUGAUUAGCAAAAUGAUGAGUGCCAAGACCUUUUUGUUAAAUUCUGAAUCAGUAAGAAUUUGUGGUUUGGUGAGUGAUCUCUCUGUUAGGACAUACAGGUGUAGAGCAACAUGAACAACCUUCCAAUGUGAUAAUGUUGUUUAUACAGUAAAUAUGAUAUUGUGCAACUUGGUAAGGAAGCAAUUGUCUGUUUGUGUAAAAAUGUAAUAUGGGGUUGUAUAAGUUUUGAUGGUAA